AGGAAGUUAGUCUAAAACAAAGACAGUUGAUUUCGACUCAACA
This 43-nucleotide transfer RNA is filed under the name Melopsittacus undulatus (budgerigar). RNAcentral describes it as "partial tRNA-Arg". Lineage: Eukaryota; Metazoa; Chordata; Aves; Psittaciformes; Psittaculidae. The record is from RNAcentral.